AGUGAACGCUGGCGGUAGGCCUAACACAUGCAAGUCGAACGGCAGCACAGUAAGAGCUUGCUCUUACGGGUGGCGAGUGGCGGACGGGUGAGGAAUACAUCGGAAUCUACUUUUUCGUGGGGGAUAACGUAGGGAAACUUACGCUCAUACCGCAUACGACCUACGGUUGAAAGCAGGGGAUCUUCGGACCUUGCGCGAUUGAAUGAGCCGAUGUCGGAGUAGCUAGUGGGCGGGGUAAAUGCCCACCAAGGCGACGAUCCGUAGCUGGUCAGAGAGGAGGAUAGGCCACACUGGAAGUGAGACACGGUCCAGACGCCUACGGGAGGCAGCAGUGGGGAAUAUUGGACAAUGGGCGCAAGCCUGGUCCAGCCAUACCGCGUGGGUGAAGAAGGCCUUCGGGUUGUAAAGCCCGUUUGUUGGGAAAGAAAAGCAGCAGGUUAAUACCCCGCUGGUCUGACGGUACCCAAAGAAUAAGCACCGGCUAACUUCGUG
RNAcentral lists this ribosomal RNA (492 nucleotides) under uncultured bacterium. Its description in RNAcentral is "partial 16S ribosomal RNA". It matches the Rfam family "Bacterial small subunit ribosomal RNA", at positions 29 to 507 of the family's 1533-position model. The record is from RNAcentral.